Molecule: ribosomal RNA, 510 nt
Filed under: uncultured bacterium
Lineage: Bacteria
Description: bacterial SSU rRNA
Rfam family: Bacterial small subunit ribosomal RNA
Source: RNAcentral
GAUCGUGUCAGGAUGAACGCUAGCGACAGGCUAACACAUGCAAGUCGAGGGGCAGCACGGGAGUAGCAAUACGUUGGUGGCGACCGGCGCACGGGUGAGUAACGCGUAUGCAACCUACCUAUCAGGAGGGGAAUAACCCGGCGAAAGUCGGACUAAUACCGCAUAAAACAGGGGCACCGCAUGGUGAUAUUGUUAAAGAAAUUCGCUGAUAGAUGGGCAUGCGUUCCAUUAGGUAGUUGGUGAGGUAACGGCUCACCAAGCCGACGAUGGAUAGGGGAACUGAGAGGUUGGUCCCCCACACUGGUACUGAGACACGGACCAGACUCCUACGGGAGGCAGCAGUGAGGAAUAUUGGUCAAUGGGCGGGAGCCUGAACCAGCCAAGUCGCCGUGAAGGGAAGAAGGAUCUAUGGUUCGUAAACUUCUUUUACAGGGGAAUAAAGUGCAGGACGUGUCCUGUUUUGUAUGUACCCUGAGAAUAAGGAUCGGCUAACUCCGUGCCAGCAGCCGC